Molecule: long non-coding RNA, 329 nt
Organism: Erinaceus europaeus (western European hedgehog)
Lineage: Eukaryota; Metazoa; Chordata; Mammalia; Eulipotyphla; Erinaceidae
Exons: 4
Source: RefSeq, a predicted model, not a curated record
GCACCCUUAGCCUUGCUGGGAAACUAAGAGCAUCCUUGCUCGGGGACUGGCAGGCUGGGCGCGGCCACAUCCCAUCUGCCACCAAAAGACUGCACCCUUCAAGAAUGUAAGGAGCACAUUCUUGAAGGUGGUUGAAACCCAGCGCCUUAUGAUGGAGGAAGCAAACUCAAGGACUCUGGAUGGGGGCCAAGACUGAAAGGUGAUCAAAACCCAGCGCCUUAUGAUGGAGGAAGAUAUACAGGGGGGAAAAUACAGCAUCUGUACUUCAGAAGACCUUGCCCGGACACAAUCCCAGACUGCCUUCCUGUUAGUCUUUUGAAUUCUUGACU